Molecule: ribosomal RNA, 374 nt
Filed under: uncultured organism
Description: partial 16S ribosomal RNA
Rfam family: Bacterial small subunit ribosomal RNA
Source: RNAcentral
GUAGGUGGCAAGCGUUGUCCGGAAUUAUUGGGCGUAAAGCGCGCGCAGGCGGGUCCUUUAAGUCUGAUGUGAAAGCCCACGGGCUCAACCGUGGAGGGUCAUUGGAAACUGGGGGACUUGAGUACAGAAGAGGAAAGCGGAAUUCCAAGUGUAGCGGUGAAAUGCGUAGAGAUUUGGAGGAACACCAGUGGCGAAGGCGGCUUUCUGGUCUGUAACUGACGCAGAGGCGCGAAAGCGUGGGGAGCAAACAGGAUUAGAUACCCUGGUAGUCCACGCCGUAAACGAUGAGUGCUAAGUGUUAGGGGGUUUCCGCCCCUUAGUGCUGCAGCUAACGCAUUAAGCACUCCGCCUGGGGAGUACGGCCGCAAAGGCUG